CCUACUGUCGGCAGCAGUGGGGAAUAUUGCACAAUGGGGGAAACCCUGAUGCAGCAACGCCGCGUGGGUGAAGAAGUAUUUCGGUAUGUAAAGCUCUAUCAGCAGGGAAGAAGAUGACGGUACCUGAAUAAGAAGCCCCGGCUAACUACGUGCCAGCAGCCGCGGUAAUACGUAGGGGGCCAGCGUUAUCCGGAUUUACAGGGUGUAAAGGGAGCGCAGACGGCAGUGCAAGUCUGGAGUGAAAGCCCGGGGCCCAACCCCGGAACUGCUCUGGAAACUGUGCGGCUAGAGUACUGGAGGGGCAGGCGGAAUUCCUAGUGUAGCGGUGAAAUGCGUAGAUAGCAGGAGGAACACCGGUGGCGAAGGCGGCCUGCUGGACUGCGACUGACGUUGAGGCCCGAAAGCGUGGGGAGCAAACAGGAUUAGAUACCCCUGUAGUC
This 440-nucleotide ribosomal RNA is filed under the name uncultured bacterium. RNAcentral describes it as "partial 16S ribosomal RNA". It matches the Rfam family "Bacterial small subunit ribosomal RNA", at positions 338 to 795 of the family's 1533-position model. The record is from RNAcentral.